CUCAAACAACGUUCUAAAGACUGUUGACAUCUAGUGGAAGCUUUAGGAAGUGCAAAAUGAACCCAUAGUCACUGUAUACUGGAAAGGCAAAAAAAACAGAGAAAAAUUGAAUCAGGAAGUGGGAGAAUUUAGAAAUGUAGUUUUUGUUUUGAAUCCCUUGGAAAACUUCAGUGACAUAGGAUUUACGUUACACCUCCUAACUCUUCCAUUGGCUGUCAACAAUCUUUAUGAACUGGUUUCAACCGUCAUCUGUUACCGGGCAGAUCAUUUUGGCUCAGUCAAUCAUUGGCCAGUCUGAGGAGAGGUGUCUUAUCAUGCGUGUGUAUGUGACGUCAUCGUUUUUAUAUUUUUCUUCUGGGAUGAAUAGCUAUUGCCCGGUUGUAAAAUUAUCGCAAUUUUACGUUAAAAAAUACCCUAAAGGACAUCGUUUGACGUGUUUCUACAAACGGUAAUGGAACUUUUAACAUUUCGUCUAUGGAUUUGCGUCCACGCCACAUGGCAUUGUAAAGUAUUCUGGAUGGGUCAACAAAACUGACGUAUUUGGACAUAAAUGAUGGUCUUUGCAGAACAAAGGAACAUUUCUUGUGGAUGUGGGUGCCCAUCCGAGUGCAUUCCACCGAAGAUCAGCAAAGGAACCCAGGAAUCCAUAAUAAACACAAAUACAAAUCAUUGACAACACUUGAGGUACGUGUAGUCGAGCUGUUUUCCUUCAGGAAUCUGUGGAGACAUUUGCUGCCCCACAUCUCAAGCACUAAGCCCAGGACAGACCUGUGCUGGCAGUGCCAGAGGAACAACUAUCAGGUCUUCAGAUCUGCCACAAGCUGUGAAGUCAGCCAAGCUGAAGAAGAAAGAGCAGCAUCUCCUGCUUGAUCAGAGUGAGCUGUCUGUCUACCAGAAGAUGGUUGCUGACUGCAAGGCCACCUGUCAAGACCUGUAUGUGACUCUGGGGGCUCCUACUGAACCAGCAAGCAAAGACAUAAGGAUGCUUUACAGCUUUGAUUUUGCUCAACAAGUACACUACCCUUCUGACCCUACGCAGCCAGGUCCCAUCUACUUUUUAACCCCUCACAAGUGUGGCUUGUUUGAUGUCUGAGGUGAAGAAAUACCACAAAAAGUCAACUACCUGAUUGAUGAAGGCAUGUCAUCCAGCAAAGACUGCAGCAUAGUCAUAAUCUACAGUACAUGUACCAUUUCUUCACCAACUAUGGAGUUGGGGAAACAAGUGUGGACUUGAACUGUGAUAACUGCAGUGGCAUAAACAAGAACAAGUUUGUGCUCUGGUAUUGUACCUGGCGGACCAUGCACAGGCUCCACCACAGUCUGGACCUUCACCUCCUGAUCACAGGCCACACCAAGUUUUCCCCCGACUGGUGCUUCAGCCUCAUCAAGCAGCGCUUCAGAAAGCCCAGAGUGAACACUUUGUCUGAGAUUGCUGGUGUUGUGAAGGACAGCACUGUGAAAGGGGUCAGCAUCCCACAGCUGGUUGGACUGGAGUAUGGUACCGUGCUGGUGGAAAGCUAUGGCUGGCAACAACACCUGACUCCGUACUUCAGGCCGCUAACACAGAUCAAGUAGUAACAAUGCAUUGUCUUCGAUGCUCUGGAGACUGGUGUUGUUUUGUUGCCAAGGAGCAUUCGGACUCAGUCAGGACCGGGUUUCAGCUGCUGCGCAACGCUGACAUCCUACCUCCCAUAGAUGGUCUGCCUGUACAAGCACCACCUGGACUGGAUACAGCUAGACAAACUUAUGUUUUUAAGAAGAUCAGGGAGUUUUGCGAUGAAGAGGCUAUGGACAUCACAUGCCUUGCACCAAAGUCAAGGGCAGGACAGAAACAGGCUCUCCGAAUAUAGAUUCCCUUGUUUGGACGGACCUGUCAUCAGCACUAUCUGCAGUGCCUCUAUUCAAUUGACUCUCUCCUAACACACACACCAUACGUUGCUGCUACAAUUUUUUAUCCCGCUGCUCAGCCACUUGACCCGAU
Molecule: long non-coding RNA, 1981 nt
Filed under: Salmo salar (Atlantic salmon)
Lineage: Eukaryota; Metazoa; Chordata; Actinopteri; Salmoniformes; Salmonidae
Description: lncRNA (ENSSSAG00000114750.1)
Source: RNAcentral